GGGGGUUAAAUAGUAUUCGCUGCUAACGAUUAUUGGAGAUUUGAUUUUUUUCUCAACUCCUU
Molecule: transfer RNA, 62 nt
Filed under: Apharyngostrigea pipientis
Lineage: Eukaryota; Metazoa; Platyhelminthes; Trematoda; Diplostomida; Strigeidae
Description: tRNA-Ser
Source: RNAcentral